GCUACUUUUUUUCUCAGCUAUUAAGGAUAUUGUUCUCAUUGAAAUUACGAAAUAAAAAGUGAGGGUCAUGCUGCUCGUUUAAGAGAAAAGGAGCAUCUGUUUUGCUAUCGAGCUAAUUUCAGGGAAAUCUCUUACAUUUUGUAUGUGCACGCGCUCAUAUGCGCGUGCUAAUGACACGAAAUCAUGCACAGUAGGGAUGCACAAUGCAAUACCAAGGAAUCACCUUAAGCAAUGUUCGCCUAAUGAAACCCACAAAUAUAAUUUGUUUGUUCCAGUCAUUGCUAGACUGUUUAAAAAUUGACCUACUACAAAGAAAAGCUUAAAACUUAACCAAAGAUAGCCUUGGCAGGGCUCAGCAGCUCAAUUAAGUGGCACGCUUUCACUGGAAUUCUUGCCACCUGCCAAAGAAAAAGUAUGGAACGGAUGCAUAUUUUAUGAAACUUUGAAUUUUUUGAUCGGCAUAUUGAAUUCCAUAAGCCGUUGUUUUGAUGUUCUACAAAGAAUUUAUGUCCGUCAAAACAUAAAUGAAACCAAACAUGCAUCAGCAGAUCCUAAUUUUGGACUUCAGAAAUAACUGGGUAAACAAAUAUAGCUGAAGAAGAAGUUUCUGUUUCCUCAAUUCUCACCCGUACAAACGCACAACAAAUCAUUGCGUUACUACGAAUAAGGCUACAGUUGAACAACAAGUGUUGGGAAGUUUCUUAAUGAUGUGACCAAAAUUAAGUUCUAAAGUGUAAGCCAUAAAAAAUCUAAACUCUGUUGUAGUCAUAUUAGGGAGAGUUUUCGUUCACGAAGAACUAAUGACCAUCAUUUGGUAGAUUUUACCGAGCAACGAGUUGAGAGCGUCUGAAAUUUCAUUUGCAAACAAAGUAACUUUACAGGUACAGGUACUGAUAUAAAGGCCUUCAGCUUUUUUGUUGGUACAUAAUUAUUUUCAUCUGUAUUGUAACAGUAACUUAUCGGUUGGUUAUAAAUUAGAUAGUGGGUUUGUGCUCAAUGUUACAUUUACGGCUUCACGGAAACAAAGCAGACUGCAAAAGGCAUGUUUUGAUGUCCCAGAGUCCCAUGGUGUCUAAGUUGGAAACUAUAGUGUCUAGCGAAAAGUUUUGUUUUGGCAUCUUGUAUGUCGAUUUUUGUGCAGUGAAGGUGAAAGAGACGACAAAUAUCUUGACAUCUGUAGAGCAAUACCUUUGAAAUAUACGUCGACAAAGAGAUAUGCUCUGUGACAAAAGUAUGACAGUUGGGCAAAUCUAAAGUGUCACAAAAAGCUGAAUCUGAUCACAUUCUUUGCCGUACGGAAAACCUCUGCUGUUCGAAAUGCUGAAAAGUUUUGAAUUCUGAAUUGAAAACCGCUGCCGUCCUAAAAGAUAAAAAAUUUUUUCGAAUGGAUAGCAGCAGUUGUUUGAACAGCUAAAUAUUUUUCUGAACAGAUAACCCCAACUGUUUGAAUGGCAUUCCAAUCAAUCUUGAAUGCAACAGCAAGCAAUCAAUUUUUAGCCGUUCCAACAGAUACCCGUUGGUGUAUGUUUUCGUGUGAGAGGCCACAAUAAAAAAGAGAUUAAAGAUUUACAGUUGAGGAUUUGAUUGUUUAUUCAAGAAUGAACAAUGUGACUGUCUCAACAUGGUGUGACCAGUCAACAUGACCAGCGAGUGAAGUUUUUGGCCGGUCAAGUCACCAUUCUAGCCGUACAUUGUCCGUUGACCGGCUGUUAUUUUGAGCUCUGGUGUUGAUUGUAGUCUGGCCUCUACCCUGCACCCUUCCUGACUUGGUUGAACAUUCUUGCUACUGUGCACAAGGGUCACUGACAGAUGCAAGCCUCCCCACCAUGUCAAGGUAGCAGCACAUGGGGAGGAAAACCCAGUGCACUGCUCUCCCAGAAAGGCACAAAAAAUGAUUUCCACUCUUAUUUAAAUUCUUCUUUAGCACCAUAUUGUCUGUCAAAAAUAAAGCACAAAUUUCAACAUUGACAUUCUCAUUUGUUCUCCUCUAUAGAUUUUGAGUGAAUUUUGUCAUCACAAAGUCAGACUUAUCUGUGGAGGAUCUACUAGACACAGGUCGAUAUGGUGUGGCAUUCAAGCUCUAGCUGCAGAUGGGAGAGGUCCGCCGACUGUGGUAAUUCUUCAUGAUGCAGUUCGGCCAUUUGUAGAUGAACCAACUUUACGGAGUGUGACUGAAGCUGCUAAGAAACAUGGAGUAAGUAACACACUGAGUUUGUAACAAUCUACC
Long non-coding RNA from Orbicella faveolata, 2227 nucleotides. Lineage: Eukaryota; Metazoa; Cnidaria; Anthozoa; Scleractinia; Merulinidae. The record is from RefSeq and is a predicted model, not a curated record.